Emericellopsis atlantica is the source of this 93-nucleotide non-coding RNA. The record is from the annotation of a RefSeq genome assembly. Lineage: Eukaryota; Fungi; Ascomycota; Sordariomycetes; Hypocreales; Bionectriaceae.
GGCACGAUGGCCGAGUGGUUAAGGCGUUCGGCUGCUAUUAAGCAAAUCAACCGGAUGGGUUCGCCCGCGCGUGUUCGAAUCACGUUCGUGUCG